GUGCUUUAGCAGCAUCUCUCUCCCUGCUAUGUUUCCCAAGUAUGUAGGCAGAACAGCAAGCAUGUAGAAACCUUUUGUAAAUUGAAAGAGAACACGGAAAGAUGAGAGGCAGAAAGUUACGAGAAAAGUACUCUUAAUCUUUGACUUCUGAAACCUUGAAGAAAGAAAUUGGACAAUAAAAGCCAAGGUAAUCAAGGAGACUGAAUGCAUGAUUUUCCUAAGCAAGGGAACUGCACUGGCUAUGUCUUCACUGGGCAACAGAUGCCUGAAGAAGGUGGGCAAGCAGAGAUCGUACAACAGUUGGGGUUGGAAGGAACCUUAAAGAUCAUCUUGUUCCACCUGCCUGCUGCAAUGUCAAAACAGGAAGGCAGUCAAUAUGCUGGAGAUCAGGCUGGAGAAAUGGCUGGGCCAAGGUGAACCUCGUGAAGUUCAACCAAGGGAAGCACCAAGCCCUGCCCUGGUGAGAAAUAACCCCAUGCACAGGACAGGCUGAGCUCUGACAGGAAAGCCAGGUAAGAUCUGGAGGUCUUGGUGAACAUCAAGUUGAACACAAACCAGCAAUGCAUCUUUGCAGGAAGGAAGGCCAACUGCAUGGCUGGCUGCAUUAGCAAGAAUGAUGACAUGAUUAUUUCCCUGUCCUCUGUAAUUGAGAGACCACAGCUGAGAUGUUCUAUACACUUUUGGCCUCUGCAGUACAGGAAAAACAUCGACAAUCUGGAGCCAGUCUAGCAGAGAGCCACCACGAGGCUGGAGCACGUGCUGUAGGAGGAGAAGCUGAGAGAGCUGGGCAUGUUCAGCCAAAAGGGGAGAGGGUAAGGGGAGACCUGCUGAAAUACAGAACAAAGCUCUUCUUGGAACUGCAUGCUGUAAGGGGACAGCAGACACAAGCUGAAACAUGGGAAAUUUUAACUCGUUUAAGGAAAAUGUUUUGUGACUGUGCUCUUCCUCUUUCCCCAGCCAGCCUGCUGGGAAACCAGUCCCUUCUACUAAGCACCAGCCAGUUGUAAUAACAUGAAUUAUAAAUUUUCUUACUUGAUAUCUGGAUUCAGGAAAAAACCACUGAAACUUCAGCACUGACCAGACAGCCAUGACAAGAGGAAAAUUCCUUCC
Molecule: long non-coding RNA, 1110 nt
Organism: Passer domesticus (house sparrow)
Lineage: Eukaryota; Metazoa; Chordata; Aves; Passeriformes; Passeridae
Exons: 3
Source: RefSeq, a predicted model, not a curated record